RNAcentral lists this ribosomal RNA (263 nucleotides) under uncultured bacterium. RNAcentral's name for it is "partial 16S ribosomal RNA". It matches the Rfam family "Bacterial small subunit ribosomal RNA", at positions 524 to 777 of the family's 1533-position model. The record is from RNAcentral.
UACGUAGGGUGCAAGCGUUGUCCGGAAUUAUUGGGCGUAAAGAGCGUGUAGGCGGCCCGAUUAGUCCGCUGUGAAAAGUCCAGGGCUCAACCCUGGAAUGCCGGUGGAUACUGUCGGGCUAGAGUCCGGAAGGGGCGAGUGGAAUUCCCGGUGUAGCGGUGAAAUGCGCAGAUAUCGGGAAGAACACCCGUGGCGAAAGGCGGCCUCUCUGGGGGACGGUACUGACGCUGAGACGCGAAAGCGUGGGGGGAGCGAAACCAGGG